This 253-nucleotide ribosomal RNA is filed under the name uncultured bacterium. RNAcentral describes it as "partial 16S ribosomal RNA". It matches the Rfam family "Bacterial small subunit ribosomal RNA", at positions 524 to 776 of the family's 1533-position model. The record is from RNAcentral.
UACGUAGGCAGCAAGCGUUGUUCGGAGUUACUGGGCGUAAAGGGUGUGUAGGCGGUUGGUUAAGUUUGGGGUGAAAUCUCCCGGCUCAACUGGGAGGGUGCGCCGAAUACUGAAUGACUAGAGUGCGGGAGAGGAAAGUGGAAUUCCUGGUGUAGCGGUGAAAUGCGUAGAUAUCAGGAGGAACACCGGUGGUGUAGACGGCUUUCUGGACCGUAACUGACGCUGAGACACGAAAGCGUGGGUAGCAAACAGG